This 509-nucleotide ribosomal RNA is filed under the name uncultured bacterium. RNAcentral describes it as "partial 16S ribosomal RNA". It matches the Rfam family "Bacterial small subunit ribosomal RNA", at positions 28 to 523 of the family's 1533-position model. The record is from RNAcentral.
GACGAACGCUGGCGGCGUGCCUAACACAUGCAAGUUGAGCGACGAACCAGGGCUUGCCCUGGGGCAAAGCAGCGAACGGGUGAGUAACACGUGGGUAACCUACCCCGAUAACCGGGACAACCCGAGGAAACUCGGGCUAAUACCGGAUGUGCUCACUGAACUUCGGUUCAGUGCGUAAAGGAAGCUUCGGCCUCCGUAUCGGGAGGGGCCCGCGGCCCAUUAGCUGGUUGGUGAGGUAACGGCUCACCAAGGCCGCGAUGGGUAGCUGGUCUGAGAGGACGAUCAGCCACACUGGGACUGAGACACGGCCCAGACUCCUACGGGAGGCAGCAGUGGGGAAUCUUGCGCAAUGCGCGAAAGCGUGACGCAGCAACGCCGCGUGGGGGAAGAAGGCCUUCGGGUUGUAAACCCCUUUCAGGAGGGACGAAGGUUCGGCGGUGAUUAGCCGUCCGGACUGACGGUACCUCCACAAGAAGCCCCGGCUAACUACGUGCCAGCCGCCGCAGUAA